UGUUUUUGUUUUUUCAGCUCGCGGAAGUGCUUCAGCGUUAACCCUUUCCAGACCUCUCAAUAGUCUUGUUUUGAAUAGUUAACUUUAUUUUAAUGGGGGUAAAGAUUUACAAAAAAAAAAAAAGGGAAGCAGCACGUCGGUUAAAAUUCUAGAACCAGACUGGGUUAGGAUUCCACCUCCCCUACUGAUUAGCUAAAUGGCUUUGUUUUUCUUAAGUGUCUCAGUUCCCCAUCCAUCAAAUGGGGAGAAUUGUAGUUAUACCCUUAUAAGGUGGUUGCAUUGGACUAAAUGCGUUAAUACGGAAUAAUUAAAGAGUUGAGAACAGUGCCUAGCACGAAGUACAUGACUUUAUGCUUCUUAAAGAGAAGAAAGGGAAGGAAGAGGAGACAAGGCGUUAUAAAUCAAAUGGAGAAGUCGCUUUAAUGUUCUAAGUGCAAACGGUCCUGUUAGUCUUUUCCGUGCUCUGAAAAAUUGAUGGGUGCCAUCCAUAACCACCUUAAUUUUGUCUCAAUACCCACUGGAAGUGGAGCCAGAUAAUUAAACUACUCUUCCAAUUUGAUGCCCAAAGAAUGCCUCUCUGAUGGUUACUUGGCUGCAAUGCUUUGGCCUCCUGAUGGAAGCUAUAUACCCUAAGAGGAAAUCUGAUGCCAAAAAUUGAAAGGGAGCCAAGUGGUAAUUCAGAGUGACUCUGGAGAGGCUUCUGUGUGUUUUGUCUAUCUCACUGGUGCUGUUUCAUUUUACUCAUAUCUUAUGAACAAGUACAUCUUAUUCUGAAGAGCAGCCCACACAGAAAAUACUUAAGUAUGGGAGAAGAUGCAGGGAAACAAAUUAAGAUGUCUCGAAGGAAAAAGUUUCAUCUUCCAUCUCACUAGAAAGAGAAGAGUUACAGACAUUAUUAUUGUUAUUUCAUGGACAGCAAGGAGAUCAAACCAGUCCAUCCUAAAGGAAAUCAACCCUGAAUAUUCAUCGGAAGGGCUGAUGCUGAAGCUGAAGCCCCAAUUCUUUGGCUACCUGAUGCAAAGAGCCUACUCAUUGUAAAAGACCCUGAUGCUGGGAAAGAUGGAAGGCAGGAGAAGAAAGGAACAACAGAGGAUGAGAUGGUUGGAUGGCAUCAUCGACUCAACAGACAUGAAUUUGAGCAAACUCUGAGAUGGUGAAGGACAGGGAAGCCUGGCAUGCUGCAGUCCAUGGGGUCACAGAGAUUCAGACAUGACUGAGUGACUGAACGACAACAACAAAAGGGAAAUUACUAUUAGUGGAUUCCUUUUAUUUAGUCCUAAUCUAAUAUUACGACCUUUUCCUCCAGGUCUAAGGCAUUUCCUCUCCCUUACCAUUUGAUAAAGCUAAUCUUUUUAUCUUUAGCAUACAAUUACAAGAGUCCUUUCUUCAUCUUGGCUGAUUUUUUUUCUCAAUUCAUCCAAGCCUCUCCUUCCCCCACCCUCUCCAUCCCCACCAUGUCUGCAAGUCUAUUUUCUGUCUGUAUCUCCAUUGCUUCCCUACAAAUAGGUUCUUCAGUUCCAUCUUUCUAAAUUCCAUAUAUUUAUGUUAAUACACAAUAUUUGUUUUUCUCUUUCUGACUUACUUCACUCUGUAUAAUAGGCUCUAGGUUCCUCCACCUCAUUAGAGCUGACUCAAAUACGUUCCUUUUUAUGGCUGAGUAAUAUUCCACUGUCAGAGAAGGCAGUGGCACCCCACUCCAGUACUCUUGCCUGGAAAAUCCCAUGGAUGGAGGAGCCUGGUGGGCUGCAGUCCAUGGGGUCGCUAAGAGUCGGACAUGACUGAGCGACUUCACUUUCACUUUUCACUUUCAUGCAUUGGAGAAGGAAAUGACAAACCACUCCAGUGUUCUUGCCUGGAGAAUCCCAGGGAUGGGAGAGCCUGGUGGGCUGCUGUCUAUGGCAGCAGUCACUGACAUGAAUGAAGUGACUUAGCAAUAUUCCAUUGUAUACAUAAAAUAUACAUAUAUGAAUAUUCCAUUGUACAAUAGUCCAUUGUACCACAACUUUUUAAUCCAUUCAUCUGUGAAUAGACAUCUAAG
Molecule: long non-coding RNA, 2038 nt
Filed under: Bos indicus x Bos taurus (hybrid cattle)
Lineage: Eukaryota; Metazoa; Chordata; Mammalia; Artiodactyla; Bovidae
Description: lncRNA (ENSBIXG00005021518.1)
Source: RNAcentral